GUUGAACGCUAGCGGCAUGCCUAACACAUGCAAGUCGAACGGCAGCGCGAGGAGCUUGCUCCUUGGCGGCGAGUGGCGGACGGGUGAGUAACGCGUAGGAAUCUACCUUAUAGUGGGGGACAACCCGGGGAAACUCGGGCUAAUACCGCAUAAUCUCUACGGAGUAAAGAGGGCCUCUGUUUCAUGCUCUUGCUAUAAGAUGAGCCUGCGUCGGAUUAGUUUGUUGGUGGGGUAAUGGCCUACCAAGGCGACGAUCCGUAGCUGGUCUGAGAGGACGAUCAGCCACACUGGGACUGAGACACGGCCCAG
Molecule: ribosomal RNA, 309 nt
Filed under: uncultured bacterium
Lineage: Bacteria
Description: bacterial SSU rRNA
Rfam family: Bacterial small subunit ribosomal RNA
Source: RNAcentral